This 332-nucleotide unclassified non-coding RNA is filed under the name soil metagenome. RNAcentral describes it as "partial contains 5.8S ribosomal RNA, internal transcribed spacer 2, and large subunit ribosomal RNA". The stretch from base 1 to 120 matches the Rfam family "5.8S ribosomal RNA", at positions 35 to 154 of the family's 154-position model. The record is from RNAcentral.
GAUGAAGAACGUAGCGAAAUGCGAUAAGUAAUGUGAAUUGCAGAAUUCAGUAAAUCAUCGAAUCUUUGAACGCACAUUGCGCCCCUUGGUAUUCCGGGGGGCAUGCCUGUUCGAGCGUCAUUAUCACCCCUCAAGCUCAGCUUGGUGUUGGGGCCUGCCCGUCACAGGGCAGCCCUUAAAAGCAGUGGCGGUGCCAUCUGGCUCUACGCGUAGUAAUACUUCUCGCGACAGAGUCCCGGUGGUGUCCUGCCAGAACCCCCCAUAUUUUUAAUGAUUGACCUCGGAUCAGGUAGGGAUACCCGCUGAACUUAAGCAUAUCAAUAAGCGGAGGA